GAUGAACGCUAGCGGCAGGCCUAACACAUGCAAGUCGAGGGGUAGCAGGAUUAAGCUUGCUUAAUUGCUGACGACUGGCGCACGGGUGCGUAACGCGUAUGCAACCUACCUUAUACUGGGGUAUAGCCCGGAGAAAUUCGGAUUAAUCCCCCAUAGUACUAAUGAAUCGCAUGGUUUAUUAGUUAAAGCAUUGCGGUAUAAGAUGGGCAUGCGUCCUAUUAGCUAGAUGGUGAGGUAACGGCUCACCAUGGCUACGAUAGGUAGGGGGCCUGAGAGGGUGGUCCCCCACACUGGUACUGAGACACGGACCAGACUCCUAAGGGAGGCAGCAGUGAGGAAUAUUGGUCAAUGGGCGCAAGCCUGAACCAGCCAUGCCGCGUGCAGGAAGAAUGCCCUAUGGGUUGUAAACUGCUUUUAUUUGGGAAUAAACCUCUUUACGUGUAGAGAGCUGAAGGUACCAAAUGAAUAAGCACCGGCUAACUCCGUGCCAGCCGCCGCAGUAA
RNAcentral lists this ribosomal RNA (503 nucleotides) under uncultured bacterium. RNAcentral describes it as "partial 16S ribosomal RNA". It matches the Rfam family "Bacterial small subunit ribosomal RNA", at positions 28 to 523 of the family's 1533-position model. The record is from RNAcentral.